GAUGAACGUUGGCGGCGUGCCUAACACAUGCAAGUCGAACGGAAAUAGCAAUAUUUGAGUGGCGCACGGGUGAGUAACACGUAGCUAAUCUACCUCAAAGCGCGGGAUAACGUGUCGAAAGACAGGCUAAUACCGCAUAAGCUCCCGAUCUGUAGAGGAUUGGGAGAAAAGGCGUAAGUCACUUUGAGAUGAGGCUGCGGCCCAUCAGCUAGUUGGUGCGGUAAUGGCGUACCAAGGCGACGACGGGUAGGGGACCUGAGAGGGUGACCCCCCACACUGGGACUGAGACACGGCCCAGACUCCUACGGGAGGCAGCAGUGAGGAAUAUUGCACAAUGGGCGAAAGCCUGAUGCAGCGACGCCGCGUGGGUGAAGAAGGUUUUCGGAUCGUAAAACCCUUUUCUGUGUGACGAGCAAGGACGGUAGCACAGGAAUAAGUCUCGGCUAACUACGUG
RNAcentral lists this ribosomal RNA (454 nucleotides) under uncultured bacterium. Its description in RNAcentral is "bacterial SSU rRNA". It matches the Rfam family "Bacterial small subunit ribosomal RNA", at positions 28 to 507 of the family's 1533-position model. The record is from RNAcentral.